ACUCAGGUCUACGCUGAACUUUCUCAGACUUUGAGAUUUAUAUUUCCAUUGUAUUUCACAUUCCUGGGCUUUGGCCAGAACCCUAACCUUUACCUUUAAGCACUUUUCCCUCCCUUUUAUGUUUGUUCCCUUUUUCCUUCCCUCCAGCUUGACCAUCUGUCUCCUUCCUUUUGCUUCCGUAGAACCAUAGACUAAGUACCUAGGGGUGAAACGGCACAUGUCAUCAAAGGAUUCGGUUUUCAGAAGUCAUCUCUGAUCUGGAUGUUAGAGCUACACCGUGGUCAAGAGACUCCCCCAGGCUCCUCUGGCUGUCUUCCUGCGCUACACAGCGAGCAUUUCCCCCAUUGCAUCUCUGAGGCACCAGGGCCCACUUUGGCAUCUGUUUCUGGGAAGACCUGAGCUGAAAUGAGAAUUCUUCCCCUGUGGUGGACUCGGGGGACAGUCCCGCAGCACCCACAGCUUGAGAAGCGCUGGUCUGGGAGGUGGUUCCAUUCUACCCUGCCCCCACUUUCCACAUGUCAGGUAGCUCUGAGGCAGAUAUUAGCACAAGGUGAGUUUACAUUUCUAGUUUCUGGUUUGGCACAUGAAGAGCUCAGAAGUUGUGAUCAUCCUAAUAAGUGAAAAACAGAAGAAACUAUAAAAUAAACAGCUCUUAGAAAAAGGAAGCCUCAGAAGAGACUGACAGAUGUCCACUUCCAGGGAAGCAGAAAAGAGUUUCCAGAGAAAAAUCUAUGUUCUAUUCUAAUCAAAUUUCCGACAUCUUUUGAUAAAUGUUCCGUCUCAGGGGCCUCUGAUCCCUGCCUCUCUGAGGGGGUGAUGCUGCGGGCAAUUAAAUCAAGUUCAAAAAUACUUAUUAAAUAAAAAUACAUGUCAGCAGCCCUGUCUUUCAGCAUAACACCCUCCUCACAAUGGCCAGGAAGACCAGCGUCUCCCUCAGCAGAAUGGUCAGCUCAGAUUUACUCAAUAUGGCAUUGGCUCUCUAAGUCAAAGGGACAUGCUGGCAGGUUCCAGAAAGGCUGGCCGUGGGAGCACAAGACUCAGCACCCUCUCCCCCUCCUCCUGCCAGAAUUGUCUGAAAUGAGGAAAGAAAUGUAAAAAUGCAAGACAACCAGAACCUGGGAUGCAGUAAGAAGGGGUGCAGUUCAUUGCCUCAAGGUGCAAAAGAGACUGCAGGUUCUCAGCCAGUGGGACCCCGGUGAAGGCAGCCGGAGGUCAAACUCACACUCCCUUCCAUGGGAAGCCCUGGAAAGUCGCCUGGAGUCAAAACAGACUCCAAAUGAGGAGUUGUGGGUAGAGCGUGGGAGAAAGAGAAAAGGCUGGGGGCGAUGGGUGGGGAGAGAGGAGAAGAGCUGAUCCGGGUGCAGCAGCUUUCCUACCCAGCGGGGCUGCACUUCCAGGUUCUAGGCGAGGCUGCCAAACUACACAGGACUUCUGGGAUUUCUUCUGACUCAGCUCCUUCCAGAAUAUUCCAGAGCUCAGGCUCUAGCUGGAGGGACCCUUUUCGGGCACUGCAGUGCUCCCUGCUGAUGGGACCAGUCAAGUCACAGAAAGUAACUUGACUGUCGCUCCCC
This is a long non-coding RNA of Marmota monax (woodchuck), 1571 nucleotides long. RefSeq lists it as uncharacterized. The record is from RefSeq and is a predicted model, not a curated record. The transcript has 3 exons. NCBI's taxonomy places the organism in Eukaryota, Metazoa, Chordata, Mammalia, Rodentia, Sciuridae.